This 2256-nucleotide ribosomal RNA is filed under the name Triticum aestivum (bread wheat). Its description in RNAcentral is "partial small subunit ribosomal RNA". Lineage: Eukaryota; Viridiplantae; Streptophyta; Magnoliopsida; Poales; Poaceae. The record is from RNAcentral.
AUGAGGACAGUCCCGACCACGAUUCUCCUCCUGCUGCUGCUCCUCGCAUUGCCGCCGGCGCCGGCCGUCGCGCUCACCGACGACGGCCUCGCGCUGCUGGCCUUCAAGGCGGCCGUGACCGACGACCCGGCCUCGGUCCUCGCCAAGUGGUCCGAGUCGGACGCCGACCCGUGCCGCUGGCCCGGCGUCACCUGCGCCAACAUCUCGUCGCAGCCGCGCGUGGUCGGCCUGGCCGUCGCCGGCAAGAACGUGGCCGGCUACAUCCCCUCGGAGCUCGGCUCGCUGCUCUUCCUCCGCCGGCUCAACCUCCACGACAACCGCCUCAGCGGCGGCAUCCCGCCCGCGCUCUCCAACGCCUCCUCGCUCCACUCCAUCUUCCUCUACAACAACGCGCUCACCGGCAAGCUCCCCAUGGCGCUCUGCGACCUCCCGAGGCUGCAGAACAUCGACGUGUCCAGGAACUCGCUCUCCGGCGAGCUGCCGCUCGACCUCCGGAACUGCCGGAGCUUGCAGCGUCUUAUCGUCUCCAGAAACACCUUCUCCGGCGAGGUGCCCGCCGGUGUUUGGCCGGAGUUGUCCAGCCUGCAGCAGCUCGACCUCUCCUCCAACGCUUUCAACGGCUCCAUCCCGCCGGACCUCGGCCAGCUCCCCAAGCUCUCCGGCACGCUCAACCUCUCGCACAACCAGUUCUCCGGCAUCGUGCCGCCGGAGCUCGGCCGCCUCCCGGCGACCGUCACUCUCGACCUCCGCUUCAACAACCUCUCCGGCGCCAUCCCGCAGACGGGCUCCCUCGCCAGCCAGGGCCCAACUGCGUUCCUCAACAACCCCGCUCUCUGCGGCUUCCCGCUCCAAGUUGCCUGCCGAGCCGUCCCACCGCCGACGCAAUCUCCGCCGCCACAGAACACCAGUUCAUCAACAGCCUCCGCCUCUAACGACAGCCAGCAUCAGCCAAUUAAAUCAAGCCUCAUAGCGCUCAUCUCCGUCGCCGACGCCGCCGGCGUCGCCCUCGUCGGCAUCAUCCUGGUGUACAUAUACUGGAAAGUCAAGGACCGGAGGGAAGGCCGCCGCGGCCGUGGCCGUGCAAUCGCAGAAGACGACGACGAUGAUGAUCGGAACAAGGGGCUGUGCGGCUGCAUUUGGGGCCGCCGCGACAGAGGCUGGGCGGACGGCUCGUCGGACGACGAGGAAGAAGGAGACGGCAAGUGCAGCGGCGCCGACGGGGAGCUUGUAGCGAUCGACCGGGGAUUCCGGAUGGAGCUGGACGAGCUGCUCCGGUCAUCCGCGUAUGUGCUGGGGAAGGGAGGGAAGGGGAUCGUGUACAAGGUGGUGGUGGGCAACGGCUCGACGCCGGUGGCCGUCCGGCGGCUGGGCGGCGGCGGCGGUGGCGCUGAGAGGUGCAAGGAGUUCAGGGCGGAGGCGCGGGCGAUGGGGCGGGUGCGGCACCCCAACGUGGUGCGGCUGCGCGCUUACUACUGGUCACCCGACGAGAAGCUCGUCGUCACCGACUUCGUCGGCAACGGCAACCUCGCCACCGCGCUGCGUGGUCGCGCCGGUGAACCUGUGCUGUCGUGGGCGGCGCGGCUGAAGAUCGCCAAGGGCGCGGCGCGCGGCCUGGCGUACCUCCACGAGUGCAACAGCACCCGGCGGUUCGUCCACGGCGAGGUCAAGCCGUCCAACAUCCUCCUGGACGCCGACUUCACCCCCCGCGUCGCCGACUUCGGCCUCGUCCGCCUGCUCGCCAUCGCCGGCUGCGGCCCCGACGGCGCGCCGCCGUCCUCAGGGGGCAGCCUCCUCGGCGGCGCCAUCCCCUACACGAAGCCGCAGGCGCCGGCGCAGGCGAGCGGCUACCGGGCGCCCGAGGCGCGCGCGCCGGGGGCGCGGCCGGCGCAGAAGUGGGACGUGUUCUCCUUCGGGGUGAUCCUGCUGGAGCUGCUGACGGGGCGGGGACCGGCGGACCACGCGUCGCCGUCGACGUCCGCGUCCUUCUCGGGGCCGUCCACGACGACGACGGACCGAUCCGGGAGCGCGGAGCACGAGGCGGUGCCGGAGGCGGUGCGGUGGGUGCGGCGCGGGUUCGAGGACGCGCGGCCGGUGGCGGAGAUGGUGGACCCGGCGCUGCUGCGGGAGGCGCCGGCGCUGCCCAAGAAGGAGAUCGUUGCCGCGUUCCACGUCGCGCUGGCGUGCACCGAGGCCGACCCGGAGCUCCGGCCCAAGAUGAAGACCGUCGCCGACAGCCUCGAUAAGGUCGGGUCGUGA